GACGAACGCUGGCGGCGUGCUUAACACAUGCAAGUCGAACGGAAAGGCCCUGCUUUUGUGGGGUGCUCGAGUGGCGAACGGGUGAGUAACACGUGAGUAACCUGCCCUUGACUUUGGGAUAACUUCAGGAAACUGGGGCUAAUACCGGAUAGGAGCUCCUGCUGCAUGGUGGGGGUUGGAAAGUUUCGGCGGUUGGGGAUGGACUCGCGGCUUAUCAGCUUGAUGGUGGGGUAGUGGCUUACCAAGUCUUUGACGGGUAGCCGGCCUGGGAGGGUGACCGGCCACAUGGGGACUGAGAUACGGCCCAGACUCCUACGGGAGGCAGCAGUGGGGAAUAUUGCACAAUGGGCGGAAGCCUGAUGCAGCAACGCCGCGUGCGGGAUGACGGCCUUCGGGUUGUAAACCGCUUUCGCCUGUGACGAAGCGUGAGUGACGGUAAUGGGUAAAGAAGCACCGGCUAACUACGUG
This 468-nucleotide ribosomal RNA is filed under the name uncultured bacterium. RNAcentral describes it as "partial 16S ribosomal RNA". It matches the Rfam family "Bacterial small subunit ribosomal RNA", at positions 28 to 507 of the family's 1533-position model. The record is from RNAcentral.